Small nucleolar RNA from Zygosaccharomyces rouxii, 100 nucleotides. NCBI's taxonomy places the organism in Eukaryota, Fungi, Ascomycota, Saccharomycetes, Saccharomycetales, Saccharomycetaceae. The record is from RefSeq and is a predicted model, not a curated record.
UGUCUUGUGAAUGAUGAAACACUAUAUUUUUACAGACCUGUACUGAAAAUACUUCAUGCAGAAACAAAUAUUGCCUAUAAUAUCUGACCCUCUACUUGUA